This is a long non-coding RNA of Mycetomoellerius zeteki, 192 nucleotides long. RefSeq lists it as uncharacterized. The transcript is spliced from 3 exons. NCBI's taxonomy places the organism in Eukaryota, Metazoa, Arthropoda, Insecta, Hymenoptera, Formicidae. The record is from RefSeq and is a predicted model, not a curated record.
CGAGCGAUUUCCGGACGUUCUGCUGCCAUCACGUAAGAAGCAGUUGUGCCCAUUGAAUGACCGAUUCCCAAAAUUUUGAAUCCGAUGGAGAUAAAGAAACAUGUGCCCUUGAGUAAUACCAAGUCCUUUAUCCUUGCCGGCAAUGACCCAAUCAGCAGAGCUGCACAACAAACCAUGCUGCAACAACACGGG